CUGGACCCUUGAGGUCCCUGAAGUGCCCUCGAAGACUACGAGGUUGAUAGGCUGGGUGUGGAAGUUCAGUAAUGGAUGAAGCUAACCAGUACUAAUUGCACGUGAGGCUUGAUCAU
RNAcentral lists this ribosomal RNA (116 nucleotides) under Gammaproteobacteria bacterium. RNAcentral's name for it is "partial 23S ribosomal RNA". It matches the Rfam family "Bacterial large subunit ribosomal RNA", at positions 2815 to 2925 of the family's 2925-position model. Lineage: Bacteria; Pseudomonadati; Pseudomonadota; Gammaproteobacteria. The record is from RNAcentral.